AUGACCUUCACCAUCAUCUUCAUCUCGACACUUUUAUUCUCCAUACCAGGGUGUAAAUCACAGAUCACAGUAACUCAAAGUCCUUCAGUGAAAACUGCAGCACCAGGAGACUCUGUUACUCUGAAUUGUAAAGUCAGUUCUCCUCCAGACUGUAAUCCACCCUGUUUGUCCUGGUACUUACAGAAACCUGGAGAAGCUCCUAAACUCCUGAUAUAUCUGACAAACAGCCUUCAGUCUGGAACUCCAUCAAGAUUCAGUGGCAGUGCAUCAUCUGGUGGUAGAGAUUUUACUCUGAGCAUCAGUGAAGUUCAGACUGAAGAUACAGGAGAUUAUUACUGUCAGAGUUAUCACAGUGGCAAUGUGUUCACACAGUGA
This is a non-coding RNA of Misgurnus anguillicaudatus (oriental weatherfish), 375 nucleotides long. NCBI's taxonomy places the organism in Eukaryota, Metazoa, Chordata, Actinopteri, Cypriniformes, Cobitidae. The record is from the annotation of a RefSeq genome assembly.